RNAcentral lists this long non-coding RNA (214 nucleotides) under Gossypium raimondii (Peruvian cotton). RNAcentral's name for it is "long non-coding RNA (GRAI_LNC009274)". The record is from RNAcentral. Lineage: Eukaryota; Viridiplantae; Streptophyta; Magnoliopsida; Malvales; Malvaceae.
CCAGUUCAGAACAAAGAGAUUUUGGCAAUAGGAAAUAGGCCUUGAAUAGUUCAGAAUGGCUUGAAGAACUGACUUAAUAAACACUUCAUUCCCACAUUGCGAUAAAUAACGAGAACUCCAAUUGUUAAUUUUCUGGCGCAUACGAUCUUUUAACGUUUGAAAAGCCCACUUUUUUCCUUUGCAACCAAGUUGGGUAACCUAGGGUAUUUCUCCG